This 492-nucleotide ribosomal RNA is filed under the name uncultured bacterium. RNAcentral's name for it is "partial 16S ribosomal RNA". It matches the Rfam family "Bacterial small subunit ribosomal RNA", at positions 29 to 507 of the family's 1533-position model. The record is from RNAcentral.
AGUGAACGCUGGCGGUAGGCCUAACACAUGCAAGUCGAACGGCAGCACAGUAAGAGCUUGCUCUUACGGGUGGCGAGUGGCGGACGGGUGAGGAAUACAUCGGAAUCUACUUUUUCGUGGGGGAUAACGUAGGGAAACUUACGCUAAUACCGCAUACGACCUACGGGUGAAAGCAGGGGAUCUUCGGACCUUGCGCGAUUGAAUGAGCCGAUGUCGGAUUAGCUAGUUGGCGGGGUAAAGGCCCACCAAGGCGACGAUCCGUAGCUGGUCUGAGAGGAUGAUCAGCCACACUGGAACUGAGACACGGUCCAGACUCCUACGGGAGGCAGCAGUGGGGAAUAUUGGACAAUGGGCGCAAACCUGAUCCAGCCAUACCGCGUGGGUGAAGAAGGCCUUCGGGUUGUAAAGCCCUUUUGCUGGGAAAGAAAAGCAGCAGGUUAAUACCCCGCUGUUCUGACGGUACCCAAAGAAUAAGCACCGGCUAACUUCGUG